Molecule: non-coding RNA, 70 nt
Filed under: human gut metagenome
Source: RNAcentral
GUAACAACGAAUGGCGAGAAGUCAGCAGAAGUCAUAGUACCAAGACGGUUGCAAACGUCAAGGGAAGGAC